UCUUGCAAUCUGCCUAAAUAGAAAUCCAAGCAAAUCUAUCAUGAAACUAACUUUAUUGUUUGUUUGUUUAUUGCUAUUGUUUGUUUAUUACUUAGGCCUGUUACUUAUUACUUAGUUUGUUUAUGACUUAAGCCUGUAGGCCACUUCAAUCAUAGCUGCUAAAUGGCAGAAUAAAAAGACAUUGCAACUGAUGCACUAUGAAAAUGCUGCCCUAACACAACAAAUGCCACCUAUAUGGGGCCAUCUACAUUUCGCCCUCUAAAGCUUCCUGAACAACCAGCUCCAAAUGGCUUUUCUGAGGUCCACAAGGGUUGGGGUUCUCUGAUUGCAGGAGGAUUGCUGUUCCAAUAGGAGGGGGGUGGAAACAAGCAACAUUUAGUUCCUCAUGUUCUAUUGAGAUUUUCAGUAAAUGAUGAUAUACACUAAUGUGCAUGGAUGGCAUCUGGAUGUGAGCAAAUGGCGCCGCCACUGGAAGCUUCUGCACAAACCAGAGCAGCCACUAUCAGAACAAACAUGAGAGAGAGCUGCUGCUUCCCUGCCAAAGGGACAAAGUACCAUCUAGCGGGCAAGGGAAUAAAGGACUCAAUCAUGA
Long non-coding RNA from Candoia aspera, 592 nucleotides. RefSeq lists it as uncharacterized. The record is from RefSeq and is a predicted model, not a curated record. NCBI's taxonomy places the organism in Eukaryota, Metazoa, Chordata, Lepidosauria, Squamata, Candoiidae. The transcript is spliced from 2 exons.